CGGUCGGGUAGGGUGGAGGUCUCGCCAUCCUCAUCACCCGCUUGGCGUAAUGCGGGCACCAGUAACCCGUACAUGAUCGUUACAUGGUUGUGGGAGUCCAGAGCUCACGAGGAAGACCGCCCAGCAGGGCUGGCGGACGUAGUCCUCUUCUCCGGAGGGAGGAGAGGAACUACGUUAACCAGGAGAAUCGGCUAGGCCCGGAAGGGAGCAGUCGUACCUGGACGUCGGCGCUUGUUGGUCACCGGUCUGAGGAAGCUUUGGGUAGUGCUCCCACAUUCAUGUGCGGUCAUGUUCGGGAGCCGACCA
RNAcentral lists this signal recognition particle RNA (306 nucleotides) under Metallosphaera hakonensis JCM 8857 = DSM 7519. RNAcentral's name for it is "signal recognition particle sRNA". It matches the Rfam family "Archaeal signal recognition particle RNA". Lineage: Archaea; Thermoproteati; Thermoproteota; Thermoprotei; Sulfolobales; Sulfolobaceae. The record is from RNAcentral.